CUUCUGCUUUGGCCGUGAUACAAUAGUAGCGACGCGAAGCCAAUCUUUUUUGCGCCUGGCCUCCUCCGCAUCCUCCCCUCCUUCCCCGAUGGUCCUGCCUCCUCCGCGCCUCCCCCAAGCCGGUCUUGCCUCCUUCGGAUGGCCGCAGCAGCGGGGCGGAACUGGUUGGGGCUCACGGUGGAUGGCGGGGAGGACGGCGGUG
This 202-nucleotide long non-coding RNA is filed under the name Elaeis guineensis (African oil palm). RNAcentral's name for it is "long non-coding RNA (EGUI_LNC012946)". Lineage: Eukaryota; Viridiplantae; Streptophyta; Magnoliopsida; Arecales; Arecaceae. The record is from RNAcentral.